Molecule: ribosomal RNA, 440 nt
Filed under: uncultured bacterium
Lineage: Bacteria
Description: partial 16S ribosomal RNA
Rfam family: Bacterial small subunit ribosomal RNA
Source: RNAcentral
CCUACGGGUGGCAGCAGUGGGGGAUAUUGCACAAUGGGGGAAACCCUGAUGCAGCGACGCCGCGUGGGUGAAGAAGCGCCUCGGCGCGUAAAGCCCUUUCAGCAGGGAAGAAAAUGACGGUACCUGAAGAAGAAGCCCCGUCUAACUACGUGCCAGCAGCCGCGGUAAUACGUAGGGGGCAAGCGUUAUCCGGAUGUACUGGGUGUAAAGGGGGCGCAGACGGCGAUGCAAGCCAGGAGUGAAAGCCCGGGGCACAACCCCGGGACUGCUGUUGGAACUGGGUGGCUAGAGUGCAGGAGGGGCAGGCGGAAUUCCUAGUGUAGCGGUGAAAUGCGUAGAUAUCAGGAGGAACCCCGGUGGCGAAGGCGGCCUGCUGGACUGCAACUGACGUUGAGGCCCGAAAGCGUGGGGAGCAAACAGGAUUAGAUACCCUUGUAGUC